UGGACGUCCACUGCUGGACAUAGGCCU
This 27-nucleotide small RNA is filed under the name Bombyx mori (domestic silkworm). Its description in RNAcentral is "ovarian small RNA-34569". The record is from RNAcentral. Lineage: Eukaryota; Metazoa; Arthropoda; Insecta; Lepidoptera; Bombycidae.